RNAcentral lists this unclassified non-coding RNA (260 nucleotides) under Hevea brasiliensis (rubber tree). The record is from RNAcentral. Lineage: Eukaryota; Viridiplantae; Streptophyta; Magnoliopsida; Malpighiales; Euphorbiaceae.
AAACAACUUGAACAUUCUAUAUAAGACCACGUCUCAACUAAAUAAAACCUCAAAGACAUUGACAAAAUCUGGUUAUCAACAGUACAAUUUUAAUGCAUAAAGUUGGUAGCUAUUCUGGAGACAUUAAAAUAGAUGCAAAUUCUAGCCUUUGCUGAAGAGAAAAAGGUGCAAAAACAAAAAAAGCCUAACGUCCUCAAUGACACAAUUAUCACUGAUCACCGGGAAGCGAUUUGAUAAUAUCAGAAUCACCUGGAUCAAUA